Molecule: ribosomal RNA, 433 nt
Filed under: uncultured bacterium
Lineage: Bacteria
Description: partial 16S ribosomal RNA
Rfam family: Bacterial small subunit ribosomal RNA
Source: RNAcentral
AACGAACGCUGGCGGCAUACCUAACACAUGCAAGUCGAACGAAGGCUUCGGCCUUAGUGGCGCACGGGUGCGUAACGCGUGGGAAUCUGCCCUUUGCUUCGGAAUAACAGUUAGAAAUGACUGCUAAUACCGGAUGAUGUCGCAAGACCAAAGAUUUAUCGGCAAAGGAUGAGCCCGCGUAGGAUUAGCUAGUUGGUGGGGUAAAGGCCUACCAAGGCGACGAUCCUUAGCUGGUCUGAGAGGAUGAUCAGCCACACUGGGACUGAGACACGGCCCAGACUCCUACGGGAGGCAGCAGUGGGGAAUAUUGGACAAUGGGCGAAAGCCUGAUCCAGCAAUGCCGCGUGAGUGAUGAAGGCCUUAGGGUUGUAAAGCUCUUUUACCCGGGAUGAUAAUGACAGUACCGGGAGAAUAAGCGCCGGCUAACUCCGUG